Molecule: non-coding RNA, 82 nt
Filed under: Clostridium sp.
Lineage: Bacteria; Bacillati; Bacillota; Clostridia; Eubacteriales; Clostridiaceae
Source: RNAcentral
AAUCAAAAUACUUCAGUAAGGAAAGCAUGGGUGAAAUUCCCACACUGGACCGCAGCCGUAAAGUCGGAAUGCUUAUUGGAGU